GCUAGCAAUGUGCCACUGACGGUUCAGCCGUUUUGGACGGCGAGGUGGUUGUUGUCGGAUCCGAACGGACCGCAGCAGUCAUCGUCGUCGUCCGAAAUGCGGUGCACUCUUUCGUGGUGCGCGUCAGCGUCGGUUCGCAGCGGGCGAUAAGGCCUUGCGGAAGGUAGCUCGGGCUUGCUCGAGUGUUAUAGACGCAGGUGCUGGGUCUGCUGCGGACCGAGGAGAGAGAGUAUCGUUGCAGCGCAUGCCGCAAGGCUAGCUACCUGCUGUUCGGCUCGCUUCACGGACUGAGGACUGCACGCAGUGCUCGGCUCGGCGGAGUGGUCGGGUGGUGGGCUGGUAUAAAUGCGCUCAGGACGCUGGCGUCCAAAUGGCCGUGCGCGACCCGUCUUGAAACACGGACCAAGGAGUCUAACAUGUGCGCGAGUCUUUGGGUGUCGAAACCCGUGGGCACAAUGAAAGUGAAGGCCUCUCGCGAGGCUGAGGUGAGAGCUGGCGCCGCGGUGUCAGUGCAUCAUCGACCGGUCCAGUCUUCUCUAAGACGGAUCCGAGUAAGAGCGUAUUUGUUGGGACCCGAAAGAUGGUGAACUAUGCCUGAAUAGGGUGAAGCCAGAGGAAACUCUGGUGGAGGCUCGUAGCGAUUCUGACGUGCAAAUCGAUCGUCAAAUUUGGGUAUAGGGGCGAAAGACUAAUCGAACCAUCUAGUAGCUGGUUCCCUCCGAAGUUUCCCUCAGGAUAGCUGGAACUCGNUCACACAGUUUUAUCAGGUAAAGCGAAUGAUUAGAGGUCUUGGGGGUGAAACACCCUCAACCUAUUCUCAAACUUUAAAUAGGUAAGAAGCUGUGACUUGCUUAAUUGAAGCCACGCAGUUCAAUGUGAGUUCCAAGUGGGCCAUUUUUGGUAAGCAGAACUGGCGAUGCGGGAUGAACCGAACGCUCGG
This 940-nucleotide ribosomal RNA is filed under the name Leucaltis clathria. RNAcentral's name for it is "eukaryotic LSU rRNA". It matches the Rfam family "Eukaryotic large subunit ribosomal RNA", at positions 498 to 1179 of the family's 3401-position model. Lineage: Eukaryota; Metazoa; Porifera; Calcarea; Clathrinida; Leucaltidae. The record is from RNAcentral.